GGCACCGUAACCCAUGUCCCUAAGUGCCACACUCACACAUCUUUUAAAUAUCUCCAGGGAUGGUGACUCCACCACUUCACUGGGCAGCCUGUUCCAAUGCUUGACAACUCUUUUAGGGAAGAAAUUUUUCCUAAUAUCCAAUCUAGAUCUCCCCUGGUGCAACACAGGGUUGUCUCCUCUUGUCCUUUCACUUGUUACCUGGAGAAGAGACUGAUCCCCAC
This is a long non-coding RNA of Lepidothrix coronata (blue-crowned manakin), 221 nucleotides long. RefSeq lists it as uncharacterized. NCBI's taxonomy places the organism in Eukaryota, Metazoa, Chordata, Aves, Passeriformes, Pipridae. The record is from RefSeq and is a predicted model, not a curated record. The transcript has 3 exons.